Molecule: ribosomal RNA, 729 nt
Filed under: uncultured bacterium
Lineage: Bacteria
Description: bacterial SSU rRNA
Rfam family: Bacterial small subunit ribosomal RNA
Source: RNAcentral
AACAGGAUUAGAUACCCUGGUAGUCCACGCCGUAAACGAUGUCGACUUGGAGGUUGUGCCCUUGAGGCGUGGCUUCCGGAGCUAACGCGUUAAGUCGACCGCCUGGGGAGUACGGCCGCAAGGUUAAAACUCAAAUGAAUUGACGGGGGCCCGCACAAGCGGUGGAGCAUGUGGUUUAAUUCGAUGCAACGCGAAGAACCUUACCUGGUCUUGACAUCCACAGAACUUUCCAGAGAUGGAUUGGUGCCUUCGGGAACUGUGAGACAGGUGCUGCAUGGCUGUCGUCAGCUCGUGUUGUGAAAUGUUGGGUUAAGUCCCGCAACGAGCGCAACCCUUAUCCUUUGUUGCCAGCGGUCCGGCCGGGAACUCAAAGGAGACUGCCAGUGAUAAACCGGAGGAAGGUGGGGAUGACGUCAAGUCAUCAUGGCCCUUACGAGUAGGGCUACACACGUGCUACAAUGGCGCAUACAAAGAGAAGCGACCUCGCGAGAGCAAGCGGACCUCACAAAGUGCGUCGUAGUCCGGAUCGGAGUCUGCAACUCGACUCCGUGAAGUCGGAAUCGCUAGUAUCGUGGAUCAGAAUGCCACGGUGAAUACGUUCCCGGGCCUUGUACACACCGCCCGUCACACCAUGGGAGUGGGUUGCAAAAGAAGUAGGUAGCUUAACCUUCGGGAGGGCGCUUACCACUUUGUGAUUCAUGACUGGGGUGAAGUCGUAACAAGGUAACC